This 484-nucleotide ribosomal RNA is filed under the name uncultured bacterium. RNAcentral describes it as "partial 16S ribosomal RNA". It matches the Rfam family "Bacterial small subunit ribosomal RNA", at positions 29 to 507 of the family's 1533-position model. The record is from RNAcentral.
AUUGAACGCUGGCGGCAUGCUUUACACAUGCCAGUCGAACGGCAGCGCGGGCUUCGGCCUGGCGGCGAGUGGCAAACGGGUGAGUAAUACAUCGGAACGUGCCCAGUAGUGGGGGAUAGCUCGGCGAAAGCCGGAUUAAUACCGCAUACGACCUGAGGGUGAAAGCGGGGGAUCUUCGGACCUCGCGCUAUUGGAGCGGCCGAUGGCAGAUUAGCUAGUUGGUGGGGUAAAGGCCUACCAAGGCGACGAUCUGUAGCUGGUCUGAGAGGACGACCAGCCACACUGGGACUGAGACACGGCCCAGACUCCUACGGGAGGCAGCAGUGGGGAAUUUUGGACAAUGGGCGAAAGCCUGAUCCAGCAAUGCCGCGUGUGUGAUGAAGGCCUUCGGGUUGUAAAGCACUUUUGGCGGGAACGAAAAGGACUGUGCCAAUACCACGGUUCGAUGACGGUACCCGCAGAAUAAGCACCGGCUAACUACGUG